GAAAAACUAAGUGAAACUUUAAAUUCUUCUUGCAGAAUAUGCCAGUUGUAGACUCGAACGACAAGACGAACAAUGAAAUUUCAUGCAAUACCAAUCAUGACGCUGUUGACUAUCUAGCAGUUGAGGAAAAACUUGAAGAACCAGCAGUUGAAGAAAAACAUGAAGAACCAACAGUUGAAGAGAAACCUAGAGAACCAGCAGUUACGGAGAAACAUGAAGAACCAGCGAUUGAGGAAAACCCAGCUGUGGAAGAAAAACUUGAAGAACCAGAGGUUGAGGAGAAACAUGAAAAACCAGCAGCUGAAGAGAAACCUAGAGAACUAGUAGUUGAAGAAAAAGCUGAAGAACCAACACCGGAAGAACUAGAAUUUGAAGAGAAACCUGAAGAACCAACUGCUGAAGAAAUACCUGAACAAUUAGUAGUUGAAGAGAAAUCUGAAAAACCAGAGGUUAAAGAGGAGAAGUCUGAAAAGGUAACUCUCUUGGAAAAAGUGAGGAUCAAGCACUAUCACAAAGUUUAUCCAUCCUAUUAGUUCUGUAUGUGCAAAGAUUCGUAUCUACUUAUCAAUUGAAAGAUUAAGUGAAACUUUAAAUUCUUCUUGCAGAAUAUGUCAGUUGUAGAUUUCAAUGAGAAGACUGACAGUGAAAUUCCAUGCAAUACCAACAAUGAUGUUGCCGACUAUGUAUCAGUUGAGGCAAACCUUGAAGAACCGGUAGUUGAAGAAAAACCUGAAGAAACAACGGUUGAGAAGAAACCUGAAGAACCAUCAAUUGAGGAGAAACGUGAAACACCAGCAUUUGAGAAGAAACCUGAAGAACCAAUAAUUGAGGAGAAACCUGAAGAACAAACAAUUGAAGAGGAGAAACAUGAAAGGAUAACUCUCCUGGAAAAGGUGAGGAUCAAGCAUUGUCACAAAGUUUAUCCAUCUUGUUAGUCGUGUAUACGAUACAAUUUACAUAUGCUUACCUACUGAAAGACUAAGUAAGACUUUAAAGUUCUUCUUGCAGAGUAUUCCAGUUGUAGUCCCGAACGACAAAACUGAAAGUAAAACUCCAAGCAUUACAAACAAUAAUGCUGCUCACUUUUCAGAAGUUGAGGAAAACCCUGAAGAACCUGCAGUAAAAGAAAAAACUGAAAAACCAGUUCUUGAAGAGAAACCUGAAGAACCAACAGUUGAAGAGAAAUCUGAAGAACCAGUUGAGGAGAAACCUGAAGAACCAACAGCUGAAGAGAAACCUGAAGAACCAGCAACUAAAGAAAAACAAGUGCUAGUAGGGGAGGAAACAGCUGAAGAACUAGCGCUUGAAGAGAAACCUGAAGAACUAACGAUUGAACAGACAGAUGAAGAACUAGUUGUUGAAGAUAAAACUGAAAAACCACCAAAUAAAGAGGAGAGACCUGAAACGGUAACUCUCCUUUAGCAGUGUCACAGAGUUUAUCCAUCCUAUUAGUUCUAUAUGUGCAACGAAUUCAUAUCUGUUUAUCUAUUGAAAUACUAAGUGAAAAUUCAAAUUUUCUUGCAGAAUUUGCCCAUUGCAGACUCAAAGGACCAGACUGACAAUGCAAUUCCAUGCGAUACCAACAAUGAUAUUGCUGACUAUGCAACAGUUGAGGAAAAACCUGAAGAAACAGUAGUUGAAGAAAAACAUGAAGAACCUGCAAUUGAAAAGAAAUUUGAAGAAUCAACAGUUAUGGAGAAACCUGAAGAACCAGCAGUGGAAGAAAAACCUGAAGAACCAACAGUUAAAGAGGAACCUGAAAAAUCAGUGAUGGAAGAGAAACCUGAAGAACCAAUUGUUGAGGAGAAACUUGAAGAACCAACUGUUGAAGAGAAACCUGAAAAAUCACUGAUUGAAGAAACACCUGAAGAACCAAUAUGGGAAGAAACACCUAAAGAACUAGCAUUUGAAGAGAAACCAGAAGAACCAGCAGUUGAAGAGGAGAAACCUGAAAAGGUAACUCUUUUGGAAGAG
This 1974-nucleotide long non-coding RNA is filed under the name Nicotiana tabacum (common tobacco). Its description in RNAcentral is "long non-coding RNA (NTAB_LNC000707)". The record is from RNAcentral. Lineage: Eukaryota; Viridiplantae; Streptophyta; Magnoliopsida; Solanales; Solanaceae.